Elaeis guineensis (African oil palm) is the source of this 92-nucleotide small nucleolar RNA. RefSeq annotates it as small nucleolar RNA snoR26. The record is from RefSeq and is a predicted model, not a curated record. NCBI's taxonomy places the organism in Eukaryota, Viridiplantae, Streptophyta, Magnoliopsida, Arecales, Arecaceae.
GUGGCAUCAAUGAUGUAUUCCUCUUUUAGUUAUCCUUGCACUUUGAUUGUCAGUGAAGAAAUUUAUAGGGGAAAUUGUUAACUGAGAUGCCU